This 1311-nucleotide ribosomal RNA is filed under the name Klenkia marina. Its description in RNAcentral is "bacterial SSU rRNA". It matches the Rfam family "Bacterial small subunit ribosomal RNA", at positions 26 to 1352 of the family's 1533-position model. Lineage: Bacteria; Bacillati; Actinomycetota; Actinomycetes; Geodermatophilales; Geodermatophilaceae. The record is from RNAcentral.
AGGACGAACGCUGGCGGCGUGCUUAACACAUGCAAGUCGAACGAUGAAGCCAGCUUGCUGGUGGAUUAGUGGCGAACGGGUGAGUAACACGUGGGCAACCUGCCCCCGGCUCUGGGAUAACUCCAAGAAAUUGGUGCUAAUACCGGAUAUUCACGCUUCCUCGCAUGGGGUGGUGUGGAAAGUUUUUCGGCUGGGGAUGGGCCCGCGGCCUAUCAGCUUGUUGGUGGGGUAAUGGCCUACCAAGGCGACGACGGGUAGCCGGCCUGAGAGGGUGACCGGCCACACUGGGACUGAGACACGGCCCAGACUCCUACGGGAGGCAGCAGUGGGGAAUAUUGCGCAAUGGGCGAAAGCCUGACGCAGCGACGCCGCGUGAGGGAUGACGGCCUUCGGGUUGUAAACCUCUUUCAGCAGGGACGAAGCGAAAGUGACGGUACCUGCAGAAGAAGCACCGGCCAACUACGUGCCAGCAGCCGCGGUAAUACGUAGGGUGCAAGCGUUGUCCGGAAUUAUUGGGCGUAAAGAGCUCGUAGGCGGUUUGUCGCGUCGGCUGUGAAAGCCCGGAGCUCAACUCCGGGUCUGCAGUCGAUACGGGCAGACCUUGAGUGUUGCAGGGGAGACUGGAAUUCCUGGUGUAGCGGUGAAAUGCGCAGAUAUCAGGAGGAACACCGGUGGCGAAGGCGGGUCUCUGGGCAACAACUGACGCUGAGGAGCGAAAGCGUGGGGAGCGAACAGGAUUAGAUACCCUGGUAGUCCACGCCGUAAACGUUGGGCGCUAGGUGUGGGGGCCAUUCCACGGUCUCCGUGCCGCAUCUAACGCAUUAAGCGCCCCGCCUGGGGAGUACGGCCGCAAGGCUAAAACUCAAAGGAAUUGACGGGGGCCCGCACAAGCGGCGGAGCAUGUUGCUUAAUUCGAUGCAACGCGAAGAACCUUACCUAGGCUUGACAUGUGCGGAAAUCCUCCAGAGAUGGUGGGUCCGUAAGGGUCGCACACAGGUGGUGCAUGGUUGUCGUCAGCUCGUGUCGUGAGAUGUUGGGUUAAGUCCCGCAACGAGCGCAAGCCUCGUUCCAUGUUGCCAGCGCGUUAUGGCGGGGACUCAUGGGAGACUGCCGGGGUCAACUCGGAGGAAGGUGGGGAUGUCGUCAAAUCAUCAUGCCCCUUAUGUCUAGGGCUGCAAACAUGCUACAAUGGCCGGUACAAAGGGCUGCGAUACCGCGAGGUGGAGCGAAUCCCAAAAAGCCGGUCUCAGUCCGGAUUGGGGUCUGCAACUCGACCCCAUGAAGUUGGAGACGCUAGUAAUCGCAGAUCAG